This 29-nucleotide non-coding RNA is filed under the name Mus musculus (house mouse). The record is from RNAcentral. Lineage: Eukaryota; Metazoa; Chordata; Mammalia; Rodentia; Muridae.
UCCCCUAACAGGAAACGUGCCCGGAUGUC